Molecule: ribosomal RNA, 1337 nt
Filed under: Bacillus safensis
Lineage: Bacteria; Bacillati; Bacillota; Bacilli; Caryophanales; Bacillaceae
Description: bacterial SSU rRNA
Rfam family: Bacterial small subunit ribosomal RNA
Source: RNAcentral
GGCGGACGGGUGAGUAACACGUGGGUAACCUGCCUGUAAGACUGGGAUAACUCCGGGAAACCGGAGCUAAUACCGGAUAGUUCCUUGAACCGCAUGGUUCAAGGAUGAAAGACGGUUUCGGCUGUCACUUACAGAUGGACCCGCGGCGCAUUAGCUAGUUGGUGGGGUAAUGGCUCACCAAGGCGACGAUGCGUAGCCGACCUGAGAGGGUGAUCGGCCACACUGGGACUGAGACACGGCCCAGACUCCUACGGGAGGCAGCAGUAGGGAAUCUUCCGCAAUGGACGAAAGUCUGACGGAGCAACGCCGCGUGAGUGAUGAAGGUUUUCGGAUCGUAAAGCUCUGUUGUUAGGGAAGAACAAGUGCGAGAGUAACUGCUCGCACCUUGACGGUACCUAACCAGAAAGCCACGGCUAACUACGUGCCAGCAGCCGCGGUAAUACGUAGGUGGCAAGCGUUGUCCGGAAUUAUUGGGCGUAAAGGGCUCGCAGGCGGUUUCUUAAGUCUGAUGUGAAAGCCCCCGGCUCAACCGGGGAGGGUCAUUGGAAACUGGGAAACUUGAGUGCAGAAGAGGAGAGUGGAAUUUCCACGUGUAGCGGUGAAAUGCGUAGAGAUGUGGAGGAACACCAGUGGCGAAGGCGACUCUCUGGUCUGUAACUGACGCUGAGGAGCGAAAGCGUGGGGAGCGAACAGGAUUAGAUACCCUGGUAGUCCACGCCGUAAACGAUGAGUGCUAAGUGUUAGGGGGUUUCCGCCCCUUAGUGCUGCAGCUAACGCAUUAAGCACUCCGCCUGGGGAGUACGGUCGCAAGACUGAAACUCAAAGGAAAUUGACGGGGGCCCGCACAAGCGGUGGAGCAUGUGGUUUAAUUCGAAGCAACGCGAAGAACCUUACCAGGUCUUGACAUCCUCUGACAACCCUAGAGAUAGGGCUUUCCCUUCGGGGACAGAGUGACAGGUGGUGCAUGGUUGUCGUCAGCUCGUGUCGUGAGAUGUUGGGUUAAGUCCCGCAACGAGCGCAACCCUUGAUCUUAGUUGCCAGCAUUCAGUUGGGCACUCUAAGGUGACUGCCGGUGACAAACCGGAGGAAGGUGGGGAUGACGUCAAAUCAUCAUGCCCCUUAUGACCUGGGCUACACACGUGCUACAAUGGACAGAACAAAGGGCUGCAAGACCGCAAGGUUUAGCCAAUCCCAUAAAUCUGUUCUCAGUUCGGAUCGCAGUCUGCAACUCGACUGCGUGAAGCUGGAAUCGCUAGUAAUCGCGGAUCAGCAUGCCGCGGUGAAUACGUUCCCUGGCCUUGUACACACCGCCCGUCACACCACGAGAGUUUGCAACA